GCCCUGAGCAGGAGGGAGGACACUGCAACGGGAGGCAGUUGAGGAGUUCGGUAGAGCAGAUUGCAGAGUGCCACUACAGGACCAGCUCAGCUGUGCUAACCCUGUCUGCAGUCACAUGACAAGCCAAAAGGUCGGAGGAGUCAGGCUAUGGGGCAGGCGGAGGAGGAGCAGCAUGAAGGUCCAUCAUUUCCAGGCAUGGCCCAUCCGGGAUUACCUGUACUGUCUGGAGGAAUACGGGAUGGGUGAUAACCCUACUUGUGUGUUUUUACACCAUGCAUGCUCUUAAGCUGAAUGUGUACAGAUCUAUCAACUGGAGGUCGAAUCACUGAGAUUCAUACGGUAACCUGUGCAUGGACAUCAAAGGGAUAAUCAGGACAGCGGACUUCCAUCACUUGCAAACCCGGGUCAAACUACCAGAAUACCUGAUGUUUGCUGGAACCUAUGCAGAAGUUGGACCACAAUCCAAUGACUACCAGACAAUGUGUCACCUUCAAAAAAACUGUAGAUUCUGUGGCGAGAUCUUAUUAGAUGCAGAUACAUCUACUUGCAAGCAAUGCAGAGUGAUCGUCAUCUCCCUACGCGUCGCUAACUCCGAUGGUUUUCAACCAAACAAUGAGAUGGAAGGAUCAUGUGCUCACUCUAAAAUGGGGGAUAGGUGUUCACUCUCCAAGAGGGGUCACCUUACACAUAGGAAUUUAUAUGUAUACGCACCUGUUUUAGGCUAGCAAGGUCAUGAAACACUUUAAUUAGUUGUGUUAUGAAUAAAAGACGAGAGUGAUAAA
Pseudophryne corroboree (corroboree frog) is the source of this 782-nucleotide long non-coding RNA. RefSeq lists it as uncharacterized. NCBI's taxonomy places the organism in Eukaryota, Metazoa, Chordata, Amphibia, Anura, Myobatrachidae. The record is from RefSeq and is a predicted model, not a curated record. The transcript is spliced from 4 exons.